UUUAUUCCCAUAAUGCAUGCUGGGCGCUUUCCCGCUACAAACACAACCGUUUCCGUCGGAGUAAGAUAAGAUUGGUCUGAAAAGACAACCUUCCCUUCCAUUUAACCCAGAAUGCCACCCCGAUUGCCAUAAACAAACCCGCCAUGGACGAGACUAACGUACCUAUGCUACUCAUUACGGCCAACGUCGGGUCUCUCUUCGAAGACCGCGAAAAUAAAGAAAAAAUAUGGGUUGAGAAGAUUUUAGAGACUUUUGAAAAAUUCGAUCCAUCGUUCGUUGCUCUACAUUUUCAAGAAUGUGGUGGAAAAGUUGCCGCCGAGGCAGCUUUCGAGAGUGUUGAAGAUUUUACACGUGCUUUACUCAAAAACGAAAAAAUUUGCCUGAGAUUCGAUCGACGUUUCGCCUGGAUCGACCAAGAUUUUCAAAAAGCUGAAAAAUUCACAGCCUUAGGUUGUAUUUAUUUUAUCAAGAAAUCUCUAAAGAACAUCUUGGUGUGGAAUCAUCAAGAAUCACAAUUUGUUUCUACAAAGGUUGAGGAGAUUAAGGUUGGCGAUCUGUCUGAUGUGUCAUGUGUCCAAAAGUUAAAGUUUCCUAGGGAAUUUUUCCCUCAGUUGAAGUGGUCUAGAAAAGGCUUCAUGAGAACAAGAUGGAAAAUAAAUAACUGCAUAUUUGACCUGUUGAAUAUCCAUUUAUUUCAUGAUGCUUCAAAUCUAGAAGCUAUGCAAAUGUCUCCUUCAGACUACAGUCAGGCUAGACACAGAGCAUUAAAACACAUCCUUGAAAGGCUUGAGAAUGACUCACUACCAAAAGCCCCUUGUAUUCUUUUUGGAGAUUUUAAUUUUAGACUUGAUACAAAGGCUGUUGUAGAGUCACUUUGCGCUGGUCUGCAGUCACAAUACAUACGAAAGGAUGGGGAAAGCAUUCCAUCCAAAGUCUUGUUCAGAGACAAGAAAAUUUCAGACAAGGUUGUCUUAGCUGUAGAGACUAAGAAAUUUGUAGUUCAUGAUCAAAGUUACUUCCAUUCUGAAGAUGGGAAAAGAUUCCAAAAGUAUAACAGAGAAUUUGAAGAGUUUCAAAACAAGUUAUAUGAAUUCAACAUUUCAUUCCCACCAAGUUAUCCUUUUAGUGAUGAUAUCAAAGAGGGGAUGCUGUACAAUAAUUCAAGGUGCCCAUCCUGGUGCGAUCGAGUCUUCCUUUCCCAUUCUGCAAGGAAGAUGGUAAUACAGGAUGUGGACCACUCUGUGACGUAUGAUAUGAUCGGGAGAAAAGUCUGCAUGGGGGAUCACAAGCCAGUAUAUUUACAUUUCUAUUUGGAUUCCUUGAGAGAAGUGCUGUCAGUAACUCAGGAGCUGAAGUAAUGUGUAGUUGUGCUGCUUUUUGAUAGGUUAGUUAUUUUGACAUGGUUAAUUAAUGUUUCAAUCAAAAGCAUAAUGACGAUAAUAAUGCAAUUUCUAUGUCAAUUUUCAAAUAACAUCCUAUUUUCAACUGGCUUUGUUUUAACAAUCUUUGUUUUUUUUUGUGAGAAGAUAACUCUAUAUAUUUUAGUACUAUGAUAACAUUACUGUUCAAGUCAAUAAGAUAAGCGAUAAAUUGCAGGAAAACCCUUGGAAUUUAAUUGAUUGACAGUAUUGUCAGUCUUGUCCGCACCCUCCCUCCCUGGGGCUUGACAUUGAUAGCUGCAUUAACUGUUCAUGUGCCCAAUCAAACAAUAAGAUAAGGCACGGCAGAAGCGUGACGUAUCAAUCGGACCUUAAUUUUAUCCUGUUGCCGUUACAGAGAUGUGUUCAAAUGGGGUUGACACCGAAUUUGUUGAGUACCUGACAUGCGUCUGAGAAAAACAGCUCCGCCCUGAGGCCGAUAGUAACAAUAAUACAUCGAGAAUAGAGAAUGCAACAAAAGGGAGGCAAUACUGCGACCAUUCUCAGGCUGCUAGGUCACAUGACAUGGUGACGUUGUUUACGUCAAAGUGGUGUAGAGCAUCUCUAGAUAUACAGUGGAACCCGAAUUCGAGUUAGCGGUGCUAACUCAAACUGACUUCAUGUUCCUUAAAGACUAAUUUUCAGUCACUCCUACUCGAAUAACUCGAACUCGCUACCUAUGUAGAUGAUAGAGAAAACACGUAAACAACAUGUAACAAGAGGAAACAGAAACCCUCUCUAAAAAACUUUCUCAAAUGCUUCUCGAAAGCAUAAGUGCAUCUAAAAGUAAGAAUUUUUAUCAGAAAGUUGUGAAAAGUGUGGUAUUGUACACUAAUGGCUAACACUUCUGUGAAGGAUAAGUCCAAGCCCCAUAUUAUUUAUGAAUCAUAUCUAACGCAAAUGAACCGAAUUGGUUGUUUCAUUUGAAUCGAAUACGCUUUAUGAGUAAUAUGAAGGUUGAACUUCACUCAAAGCUGGAUUUACAUGCAGCGAUAUGUCGGGCCGAUUGUCGGUUAGAUUAUUUGCAACUUGCAAUUUUUCGAGCCGAUUGUCGGCUAGAUUAUUUGAAACUUGCGAUAUGUCGGGCCGAUUGUCAGCUAGAUCAUUUGCAACUCGCGAUUUGUGGGGGCGAUUGUCAGCUAGAUCAUUUGCAACUCGCGAUUUGUGGGGGCGAUUAUUGUCUAGAUCAUUUGCAACUUGCGAUAUGUCGGGCCGAUUGUCUGCUAGAUCAUUUGCAACUUGCGAUUCGUCGAGCCGAUUAUUGUCUAGAUUGUUUGCAACUUGCGAUAUCUCGGGCCAAUUGUCGGCCAGAUCAUUUGCAACUUGCGAUGUGUCGGGCCGAUUGUCGGCCAGAUCAUUUGCAACUUGCGAUGUGUCGGGCCGAUUGUCGGCCAGAUCAUUUGCAACUUGCGAUGUGUCGGGCCGAUUGUCGGCUAGAUCAUUUGCAACUUGCGAUAUGUCGAGCCGAUUAUUGGCUAGAUUAUUUCCAACUUGCGAUAUAUCGAGCCGAUUGUCGGCUAGAUUAUUUGCAACUUGCGAUAUGUCGGGACGAUUGUCGGCUAGAUUAUUUGCAACUUGCGAUAUGGGAAUAGGAAGUGCUCUUAUUUCCCGGAAAAAAAAUAGCAUAGAUUAGCAAAUAUAUAUAUAUAUGGAAAUACAGAGAUACGGGUAUUUCUAUGUAUAUUCUAUAUGAGUAUAUUGAUAUGAUUAUUAUGAUAUUUUAGAAAUAAAUACGAAUUGGCAAGACUGUAUUUCUGCCAUAGCAAAUUAAGACUAAAAUUGACGGAUUCCUAUAUUAAAUUGCUAUUUAUAUAUCAUGUCGCAAACUGCGAUUUAUUGUAAAUAAAAGACAGUACUCUA
RNA transcript from Nematostella vectensis (starlet sea anemone), 3278 nucleotides. It is a transcript of the gene named inositol polyphosphate-5-phosphatase A, with no coding region annotated. Lineage: Eukaryota; Metazoa; Cnidaria; Anthozoa; Actiniaria; Edwardsiidae. The transcript is spliced from 19 exons. The record is from RefSeq and is a predicted model, not a curated record.